RNAcentral lists this ribosomal RNA (425 nucleotides) under uncultured bacterium. Its description in RNAcentral is "partial 16S ribosomal RNA". It matches the Rfam family "Bacterial small subunit ribosomal RNA", at positions 354 to 796 of the family's 1533-position model. The record is from RNAcentral.
GUGGGGAAUAUUGGACAAUGGGCGCAAGCCUGAUCCAGCCAUGCCGCGUGAGUGAUGAAGGCCCUAGGGUUGUAAAGCUCUUUCACCGGUGAAGAUAAUGACGGUAACCGGAGAAGAAGCCCCGGCUAACUUCGUGCCAGCAGCCGCGGUAAUACGAAGGGGGCUAGCGUUGUUCGGAUUUACUGGGCGUAAAGCGCACGUAGGCGGAUCGUUAAGUCGGGGGUGAAAUCCUGGAGCUCAACUCCAGAACUGCCUUCGAUACUGGCGAUCUUGAGUCCGGAAGAGGUGAGUGGAACUCCUAGUGUAGAGGUGGAAUUCGUAGAUAUGAGGAAGAACACCUGUGGCGAAGGCGGCUCACUGGUCCGGUACAGACGCUGAGGUGCGAAAGCGUGGGGAGCAAACAGGAUUAGAAACCCCGGUAGUCC